This 367-nucleotide ribosomal RNA is filed under the name Charybdis hellerii. RNAcentral's name for it is "partial 16S ribosomal RNA". Lineage: Eukaryota; Metazoa; Arthropoda; Malacostraca; Decapoda; Portunidae. The record is from RNAcentral.
UAGCAUAAUCAUUAGUUUUUUAAUUGAAAACUUGUAUGAAUGGUUGGACAAAGAAGAGACUGUCUCUUGUGUUAUAAUUGAAUUUAACUUUUAAGUGAAAAGGCUUAAAUAUUCUAGAGGGACGAUAAGACCCUAUAAAGCUUUAUAAAUUUGAAGAUUUUGUGUAUUUUUAUAUAAAAAUGAAUUUUGAAGAUUUUAUUUGGUUGGGGCGACAAUGGUAUAAUGAGAAUAACUGCUAUUAAAAUUAACAAUUAUAUUUGAAUUAUUAAUAAUUGAUCCUUUAUAAGGAUUUUAAGAUCAAGUUACUUUAGGGAUAACAGCGUUAUUUUUCUUGAGAGUUCUUAUCAAAGGAAAAGUUUGCGACCUC